GACGAACGCUGGCGGCGUGCUUAACACAUGCAAGUCGAGCGGUAAGGCCCUUCGGGUACGACGAGCGGCGAACGGGUGAGUAACACGUGGGUGACCUGCCUCUAGCUCUGGGAUAAGCCUGGGAAACUGGGUCGUAAUACCGGAUAUGACUCCACGGCGCAUGUUGUGGGGUGGAAAGCCUUGUGUGGCUAGAGAUGGGCCCGCGGCCUAUCAGCUUGUUGGUGGGGUGAUGGCCUACCAAGGCGACGACGGGUAGCCGGCCUGAGAGGGCGACCGGCCACACUGGGACUGAGACACGGCCCAGACUCCUACGGGAGGCAGCAGUGGGGAAUCUUGCGCAAUGGGCGAAAGCCUGACGCAGCGACGCCGCCGUGAGGGAGUGACGG
This 386-nucleotide ribosomal RNA is filed under the name uncultured bacterium. RNAcentral describes it as "bacterial SSU rRNA". It matches the Rfam family "Bacterial small subunit ribosomal RNA", at positions 28 to 414 of the family's 1533-position model. The record is from RNAcentral.